GAUGAAGAACGCAGCGAAAUGCGAUAACUAAUGUGAAUUGCAGAAUUCCGUGAAUCAUCGAAUCUUUGAACGCACAUUGCGCCCGCCAGUAUUCUGGCGGGCAUGCCUGUUCGAGCGUCAUUUCAACCCUCAAGCCCAGCUUGGUGUUGGGGAUCGGCACAGGCGCCCUCGGGCGCCCGCCGUCCCCUAAAUCUAGUGGCGGUCCCGCUGCAGCCUCCUCUGCGUAGUAGUUUUCUCCUCGCAAGGGCAGCUCGGUGGCGACCUCGCCGUAAAACCCCCAACUUCUGAAAGGUUGACCUCGAAUCAGGUAGGAAUACCCGCUGAACUUAAGCAUAUCAAUAAGCGGA
Molecule: unclassified non-coding RNA, 347 nt
Filed under: soil metagenome
Description: partial contains 5.8S ribosomal RNA, internal transcribed spacer 2, and large subunit ribosomal RNA
Rfam family: 5.8S ribosomal RNA (bases 1-120)
Source: RNAcentral